This 408-nucleotide ribosomal RNA is filed under the name uncultured bacterium. RNAcentral's name for it is "bacterial SSU rRNA". It matches the Rfam family "Bacterial small subunit ribosomal RNA", at positions 355 to 776 of the family's 1533-position model. The record is from RNAcentral.
UGAGGAAUCUUCCGCAAUGGGCGAAAGCCUGACGGAGCGACACCGCGUGAAGGAUGAAACCCCUCUGGGGCGUAAACUUCUGUUCUGAGGGACGAAAUUUUUGACGGUACCUCAGGAGAAAGCACCGGCUAAUUCUGUGCCAGCAGCCGCGGUAAGACAGAAGGUGCAAGCGUUACUCGGAAUUACUGGGCGUAAAGCGUCCGUAGGUGAUCCUGUUUGUCUGGUGUCAAAGCGCGACGCUCAACGUUGCGUUGGCACUGGAAACGGCAGGAAUUGAGUCAUUCAGAGGCAUCUGGAAUAUCGUGUGUAGGGGUAAAAUCCGUUGAUCCACGAUAGAACGCCGAAAGCGAAGGCAGGAUGCUAGGAAUGUACUGACACUCAGGGACGAAAGCGUGGGGAGCAAACCGG